This 385-nucleotide RNase P RNA is filed under the name Deltaproteobacteria bacterium. RNAcentral describes it as "RNase P RNA component class A". It matches the Rfam family "Bacterial RNase P class A". Rfam says of the family: Ribonuclease P (RNase P) is a ubiquitous endoribonuclease, found in archaea, bacteria and eukarya as well as chloroplasts and mitochondria. Lineage: Bacteria; Pseudomonadati; Myxococcota; Myxococcia. The record is from RNAcentral.
GGAGCGGAUCAGGUGAACGCCGGCGCAGACUCUUUGCGCGGGAGGAAAGUCCGGGCUCCAUAGGGCAUGGUGCUGGUCAACGGCCAGUCGGGGCGACCCGAAGGAAAGUGCCACAGAGAAUAGACCGCCGAAGGCCCUUGGAGGGCCUGGCAAGGGUGAAACGGUGCGGUAAGAGCGCACCGCGGCGACAGUGAUGCCGCCGGCACGGCAAACCCCACCUGGAGCAAGAGCAAAUAGGGGAGCGUGCGGGGGCAACCCCGCUCCAGGCUGCCCGCCUGGUGCUCCCGGGUACCUCGCUCGAGGCCUCGGGUAACCGAGGCCCUAGAUGAAUGUUCACCACCCGGAUGUUUCGGGAACAGGACCCGGCUUACGAUCCGCUCCGGUU